Molecule: ribosomal RNA, 301 nt
Filed under: uncultured bacterium
Lineage: Bacteria
Description: partial 16S ribosomal RNA
Rfam family: Bacterial small subunit ribosomal RNA
Source: RNAcentral
CAGCCGCCGCGGUAAUACGUAGGGUGCAAGCGUUAAUCGGAAUUACUGGGCGUAAAGCGUGCGCAGGCGGUUAUAUAAGACAGAUGUGAAAUCCCCGGGCUCAACCUGGGAACUGCAUUUGUGACUGUAUAGCUAGAGUACGGCAGAGGGGGAUGGAAUUCCGCGUGUAGCAGUGAAAUGCGUAGAUAUGCGGAGGAACACCGAUGGCGAAGGCAAUCCCCUGGGCCUGUACUGACGCUCAUGCACGAAAGCGUGGGGAGCAAACAGGAUUAGAUACCCCGGUAGUCCCUGUCUCUUAUAA